AAAGCCAUGUGAGGAAAUCUCAUAAUCUCAAAGGGUUCACUUGUAGUUAUGAAGGGGGAGACUCAACCUAACUUCCUGUAUCGACUAUGUGUUACAACAAUGACUAGUAGAGCAGCUAUAUUUACCAAGAAUGACUCAGAGGAUGAGACUUAACUUUGUCAUUUGAGGUUAGGGCAUAUGAGUGAGUGAGCCAUGCAAG
Molecule: long non-coding RNA, 199 nt
Filed under: Prunus persica (peach)
Lineage: Eukaryota; Viridiplantae; Streptophyta; Magnoliopsida; Rosales; Rosaceae
Description: long non-coding RNA (PPER_LNC000326)
Source: RNAcentral